This 492-nucleotide ribosomal RNA is filed under the name uncultured bacterium. RNAcentral's name for it is "partial 16S ribosomal RNA". It matches the Rfam family "Bacterial small subunit ribosomal RNA", at positions 29 to 507 of the family's 1533-position model. The record is from RNAcentral.
AGUGAACGCUGGCGGUAGGCCUAACACAUGCGAGUCGAACGGCAGCACAGUAAGAGCUUGCUCUUACGGGUGGCGAGUGGCGGACGGGUGAGGAAUACAUCGGAAUCUACUUUUUCGUGGGGGAUAACGUAGGGAAACUUACGCUAAUACCGCAUACGACCUACGGGUGAAAGCAGGGGAUCUUCGGACCUUGCACGAUUGAAUGAGCCGAUGUCGGAUUAGCUAGUUGGCGGGGUAAAGGCCCACCAAGGCGACGAUCCGUAGCUGGUCUGAGAGGAUGAUCAGCCACACUGGAACUGAGACACGGUCCAGACUCCUACGGGAGGCAGCAGUGGGGAAUAUUGGACAAUGGGCGCAAGCCUGAUCCAGCCAUACCGCGUGGGUGAAGAAGGCCUUCGGGUUGUAAAGCCCUUUUGUUGGGAAAGAAAAGCAGCAGGUUAAUACCCCGCUGUUCUGACGGUACCCAAAGAAUAAGCACCGGCUAACUUCGUG